This is a long non-coding RNA of Caretta caretta (loggerhead turtle), 2967 nucleotides long. RefSeq lists it as uncharacterized. The record is from RefSeq and is a predicted model, not a curated record. NCBI's taxonomy places the organism in Eukaryota, Metazoa, Chordata, Testudines, Cheloniidae.
CACAGGAGCCCUUACAGCGGCGCAGCUGUGCCACUGUACGGUCCGGAGUGUAGACAUAACCUACACAGGGUCAAACGGAGCUUGGAGUCAGUGUGUGCAACUUCCCUUGUGAUGCAGACUUCAUGUUGGGCGUAAUUUGGCCAGAAAACUGAUGCACAGUCCGGGAAGUUAUACUGAUUUGGUGUUCGGUGAUUGUGCAAAGCGAGUGAGAUGUGCACACCAUGCAGUGCAGAAAGGAGGUUAAGGAACAAGAAAAGCAACUACCCAGAGCGGAAGUAAGUGGAGACAAGGACUAAAACGACAAGGAGGACACAGACUGUCCCGGCAGCAGCAGACACAGCAACCUGGUGGCGAUCUGGGAAAAUAAAACCUAGAGGCACAAGCUGCACUUCAGGGGUUGGCAGAGACCAUUCUGCAGUGCAUAAAUAACUGACUGUUCCACCCAGGCUGCGAGUGGGCACUGACCCGCCAGUGCCCGUUGCAGUGAACGAGUCUGUGACAUUCCCCUGCCGUGUGGAGGGGUUUUAUCCGAAGGACGUGAGUCUCACCAGGCUGGAGAACAGAAACGAGACGGGUUAGGAAAGUACUCCCCCAUGGCUGAGAAUCCAGACGGGAUGUACACGCUCCAGAGCUCCCUGGAGAUGAACUCAACUGAGCAGAGGAAUCCGUCCGCGUUCACCUGUCGGAUUGUGCACAAUUCCCAGCCUCCCAUCAGGCAAGUGAGACGCUGAGGAUCUCCGAGCCGCCUGCAGCACCUGGUGGAGGGUUAGAUUUGUCCCAGGCAGGCAAAGGGGCAGUUCUAGGAACCCCCUUGUCUGUGUAAAGGAGAGAGACCACUGGACAGAUCCCAGUCACGCCUCAGACGCAUGAGCAGAAGCUCCCCAGGGGACUCCUGGCCGCUUGCUGAUCACGUAGAUUUCUACUGCAGGUCACUGUCUGUUUUCCAGCUGCGCCUUCUGGAUCGGGCUCUUCCUGGAAAAGGUGCUGACUGCCGCCUUCCUCCUCUUCCUCUUCCUGAGAGGAAGCGGGUCACGUAUGCCGUGUAGCUGAUCCCACGAGGAGUCCUUGUGGCACUUUGGAGACAAACCUCUGUAUUUGGGCAUAAGCUUUCGUGGGCUAGAACCCACUUCAUCGGAUGCGUGGAGUGGAACAUACAGGAGCAGCCCCACUUCUGUUUCCUGGUUUCCUUGCACCCUUCACUGCCUGCCAACUUCGCCGUCUGCACCUCCGUCCGUCCCCGCAGUCUGGGAAAUGAGUUCAUCGAUGGAGCUGCAGUGACCCCCGCUGGCCAGGCCAAUGGAGCCCAGGCCUCUGAUGAGCUGCACCUGCCAAACUCACCCUCUACUGAUGGAGCAGCCGACAGGGAAUUCCUGACCUGGCUCCCUGCCCCCUUCACCCUGUCUCUCUGUGCUGUCUGCAUUGACCUUCACUUCGGGGAGAAGAGCUGAAAUAUGGGGUACAACGCACAUGAUUCUGGUGGAACACACAAUGUGUCUAUGAGACCCAAUGGCCCUGGAGCAGUCCCCCUGAGUCCUGUGGGUUCGACCCUGAGGGUCAAACUCUUGCUCCUGGGGCUGGCAGGAGCUGGGUGUUUUGAAGAUGUGACGCCAUGACUUGCAGGAGAGAACUGGUCGAGUGGGUCUGCCCUGGCCCAGUGAUGGAGCAGCCUGAUCAAACCCUAUUAUCCCUGCAGGAGGCCUCUGGGCCUGACUCUGAGAUGGGAGGGAUGAGAAGACACGGUGGUAAAUGGAAGCCGAAGUAAGGUGAAAAUGAAGCAAUUCGCUGAACUCCCAUUCCCCCUGUUAAGCACCCGCCUUCUGCUCUGGGCAAGGUUGGAUCCUGUAGCUGACCCUGCUGGUCUGUGCUCCGGGACACGGAGGUGAUGGGAGCAGGGAGCCCAGAUCAUCUGUAGAGCUGGCUUGUGCCUUUCUGUGAUUCUGGACUCCGGCUGGAGCCUCCUGCCUCUGCUUGGCUGUGAAGAGGCAGGAGAAAUUUGUGUAAUAAUUUCUGGCAGUGCUUGAACUCACCCCUGACUGCAGAGCUGGGGUGGGGAGACGGGAAAUGUCACGGAGCAAUUCCCUAACAUUUGUAGCUGUUUUAAAGUCCCAUGUCUGAGGCGGGCCUGGGGGGCAGAGCCCCCCUCCACACACUGUGCAGGAGCUUCUUUUACCCCACCUGAGAGAACUGUCUGUGAGUGAAUAGAUAAUAUAGCGAUUCAUCUGUUCUUACCAUUUCUCAUUGCUUGUGUUAUUUAUAAAGUGGCUACGCGGUUAUAGUCUGCCUGGGAAACCUGUCUCUGUAUCCAGAAGAGCCUGGAGACUUAAGGUUGGGGCGCACGGUUUAUCUGGACACUAGGACGGUUCAUGGUGUAUUCACACCCUUUGUGCUGGCUGGUCCUGUUUUGAAUUUCAGACUUUGCCGAGUCCCUUUGGAGUUCUCUGGCUAGCCACCCUUAUCGGUCCUUGUAAAACCAAGUGACACGCCCAGGGUCAGAUCUCCUGGGUCGGUCUCUCAGGUACUGAGUGUAUAGUCCGCAGGGACCAGGGGCCUUGACACAAGCAGGGGAAGCUGAGCACCACCCAGCUUGUUCAUGUGCCAAACUGGGGGAACUCCAUGUCCAGAGGGUGUGGGCGAUAAAUGGGCCUGUGCAAUUUCUGGAGAUAAGUUGAAGCCACCGAAAAGCCGGGCCCAAGGUGUUUACUGCCAGCAGAUGCUGCCCUGGGACUGCUUUGGGUUGGGCAUUGUAGUCCACCGACCCACGCGCAUCUUCUGUCCCUACGGCCCAGGUGAGCUGACAUUUUCCAGAGACCCACAACGUACAACACAACCUGCCUCCCUUUUGUGGCUCCCAGGGGCAGCUGUUGGCAGAGGGAGGCACGGCAGUGGGGGGCCAGUGGAGUCACCCCAGCAGGGAGCUGGAGAGAGCUGCGGAGGGCCCCAGAGCUGGUGCAGCCGUACAGAGCUUUC